Transfer RNA from Mesitornis unicolor (brown roatelo), 72 nucleotides. It matches the Rfam family "tRNA". From Rfam's summary of the family: Transfer RNA (tRNA) molecules are approximately 80 nucleotides in length. Their secondary structure includes four short double-helical elements and three loops (D, anti-codon, and T loops). NCBI's taxonomy places the organism in Eukaryota, Metazoa, Chordata, Aves, Mesitornithiformes, Mesitornithidae. The record is from Rfam.
UCCUCGUUAGUACAGCGGUGAGUAUCCCCGCCUGUCAUGCAGGAGACCUGGGUUCGAUUCCCUGACGGGAAG